AAUUAAAUGAACACAUACAUUCCUUGAGACAGAAACUUGAAAGUAAGACGACGGUUCUGGCGUAACAAACGAAUUCCUACAGAUGAGAAUGUUCACCACAACCAUUCCCCCAGUCUAUGAAUCUUCCACAAAUACACACCGUUGGACUGAGCAUCUGGACAUACUCCGUGAAACCAAUGUAUCGAAUUCAGCUUUCUAUCAACUCGAUGAGGAAUCUUUUCAUCUCGCUGAUGAAUCUUUCCAACUCCUUGAGGAAUCAUUCCCAUUUGUUGAUGAUUCUGGGAUGAGAAUGAUUUUCAUUGUCUGUACACUGCUUUUCGGUUUUGGAAUAGUUGGAAACCUAAUAACCGUGCUACUAAUUGUCGUCACGCAACAUCUCCACUCUCCAACCUACGUCACAAUCGCCUGUCUAGCUAUAUCCGACUGCUUGGCCUCCUCCACGCUUUAUGCUAUGUUCUUGAUUUCCUUAUUUUAUUCAUAUUUCCAGGUUUAUUCAAUACGUGUAUUCGAGAUCUUUACUUAUUUGUUUAUGCAUUCUGCAAAUUUUCACAUGGUAUUGCUAUCGUAUAUUCGCUACGUUUUCAUUGUUAAACCUCUAAAGAGUCUAAAAAUUACUUGUACUAAGGUAUUUAAAUUGUCUAUAAUCAUUUGGGUGUUCUCCUUUAUAAUAAGCGGAGUGUACGGAGUGAGACAAGCAUUAUUUUUGUCUGAGGUGAUAUCAAAUGAUUUACGUAAGAAAACUGAAAUUGGUUUUGCUCUGUAUAUAGCUGGGGUACCAUUUGUAUUGGUAAGCUGUUUUCAUAUCGGAAAGAUUUGUCAUUGACGAAAUAAACCAGAAAGAAUGGAUGGAGGAAGGGUUAAAGUAACUAAUUCAAUGUCCAUCAUGUUCUCAAUAAUCAUCAUGGUAUAUCUAAUUACUACAGUGUAUCCUAUGUUGUAUACAAUCAUUCCAUUCAAAUUUAAGUAUCGUCAUGAUUUGUUUCAUUUUUUUCUUCUGAUAAACAAUUGCAUAAACCCUUUCAUAUAUUUUGCAUUUUCUCUCCCAGUUGUAAAAUUGCUCUCCAGAUUAAGAAAUUAUAUGAAUUGAUAGAUUGAUGGAUCAUAGUGUUACUAAAAUAUUUCAGCCAUUUUACGGCGGUUAACUAAUUGAAAUAUGUUUGGUUGUUGGUGCUUUAGUUUCCGUGACGAACCUCUGUGAGCCUCCUAUAUAUCGAAAAUCAGGGAAAUGACCCAAGGGGGUUGUGAUCUUUAACAUGGGACAAGAAAUUAUAUCAAAGAUAUGUAAAAUUGUUUCCGCAAAAUGUUAUGCCGCCCACCAACAUCCAAGGGAAACUAUGAGCAUCUGGAGUUCACGAAGAGACAUCGUCACACCUGGGGAUAUCACUGAUCAAAGCCAUCACAGAAACCUUGCAUCGGAAAAAUACAACAAUCGACGCUUUGUCUCCUGCCUGCCUCUCCAAGAGGGACAAAACAUUUAUUUUAAGUAAGGACACCCUUUCCCUGUCACCCAUGUCAAUCCAAAAGUGUUGAAAGACAUGUGUAUCAAAACAGCGGAAAGCAGACUGCAUUCGUGUCCAUUUUAAAAAACAACAGAUACGACACUAAUUUUUGCGGACCCCUCCAUGUUAUUUCUUUGGGGAACAGCAGUGUCCACCUUGCUGAACAUUUCAACGUUUUCUUAGAAUGAAAGAAUUCAUUUUAUUCAAAUAGAAGAUUUCAUAAUAAACUUAAAUAUAUC
This is a long non-coding RNA of Ostrea edulis (European flat oyster), 1738 nucleotides long. RefSeq lists it as uncharacterized. The record is from RefSeq and is a predicted model, not a curated record. Lineage: Eukaryota; Metazoa; Mollusca; Bivalvia; Ostreida; Ostreidae. The transcript has 2 exons.